UUACGGCCACAUCACUUUGAACCACCAGUUCCCCUACGAUCACCGAAUUUAAGCAACGCCGAGCCUGGUCAGUAACUAGAUGGGUGACAGCUUGGGCGCAACAGGUGCUGUAAG
Molecule: non-coding RNA, 114 nt
Organism: Acanthosepion pharaonis
Lineage: Eukaryota; Metazoa; Mollusca; Cephalopoda; Sepiida; Sepiidae
Source: the annotation of a GenBank genome assembly